GGAUGAAGAGAUAGAUGGACAGAGGAAGAGGGGGAGGGGGUGGAAGUGCACAAAAAAAUAAACAUGCGAGUCCAGUUCCCUGUAAACAAAAUAACACACCAAUUAGGUGCCAUUGCCAUCCAGGCAGAGAUGAGUUUCUCCCAUCACUCUCUCUUUCUCCCUCCCUCUUUUCCUUUUAUUUGUCUUUCCCUCUAGGCAUCUCCUCUCAUUCUCGGUUCGCCUCUUGCCUCAGCAGCACUCUGUGUCCAUUGCUUCUAACCCAGUGAGCACUCUGGCAUCGCACUGCAGCCACUGGCAAUGCAUGCUGCAUGUGUGUUAGUGUGUUUGGAAGAUGGAUGUAUGGAGCCUGGGUGAACUCUGCCCCACAUACUACACUACCCAUCCCGCCUCCUCCUCCUCGACCACUCUCUACUCUCCGCGAGGCCCUGGGUCCCUGUGAGCUCCACCAUAUGAGCUCCAUUAGACGCCAUGACCUUCUGCACUUGCCGCCCUAAUCCUGAGUAGAGCAUGAACAGUGGGUCUCUGCGUCCUCCGCCCAGCACCGCUGCAGCCACAUGGCACAGUGCCCUGCUUUGCUGCUCCAUUACCACAGAAAGGCUCAGCAGCCCCAGUUAAUCCCUCAUCUGUCUCCUUCCCCUUUGGCUGACAUCUUGGAUAAUAUACCUAUUGUACAUUUUUAUCACAAUACAAACACUUGUCUGAUGUUUGAUGCUGCCAAUGCAGGAUGCAGGAAUUUGUACGAAAGCUGAAAAUCUACAAUCAUAGAUGCUGCGCUGGACAAAAAAACAAAUAAAUAAUGUAAUAACUAAAUUACUUCCCUGCUGCAGAGGAUAGAAGGGCUGUUUUCUUGCUAAAUGCUAAUUAAGUUUCCUACAGUCUCUAAGCUUGUUAUUUAAUGGUAAUCACGUCUUUUGUAUGAGCAACAUUACAACACAAGUGUAACAAAUCUAAUUUCCACGACACAGGAGGGUUUUUAGUGUUGCUCUCUUUACAAGCUUCAUUAGGACACUCUUAACUGCUUAAGCACAAUCAAGACAGAGCACAAGAAAACAGGAAUAUAAAAACCACCUGACUGACAAAUAGCUCAGGCACAAAAAUAAUAACUCUAAAGUAACCAUUGAUUACUCUCUCACACAAUUCAUAUCCAUAAUGUACAGGAUAUCCUGCCUGCUAACUAAUGGAGGAAGCAGUAUGAUGGACAGCAGUGGAAAUGCUGCAGUUGAAUAGAGUGUAUUGGAUCCAAGUGUUUGGAUUAAAGGGAGUUAACCCGA
This is a long non-coding RNA of Sphaeramia orbicularis (orbiculate cardinalfish), 1271 nucleotides long. RefSeq lists it as uncharacterized. The transcript is spliced from 2 exons. NCBI's taxonomy places the organism in Eukaryota, Metazoa, Chordata, Actinopteri, Kurtiformes, Apogonidae. The record is from RefSeq and is a predicted model, not a curated record.